GAUGAACGCUAGCUACAGGCUUAACACAUGCAAGUCGAGGGGCAGCAGGGAUUUAGCUUGCUAAAUUCGCUGGCGACCGGCGCACGGGUGCGUAACGCGUAUCCAACUUUCCCGUUACUCUCGGAUAGCCUUCCGAAAGGGAGAUUAAUACGAGAUGGUGUUUUAAUUCCGCAUGUUAUUAGAACUAAAGAUUUAUCGGUAGCGGAUGGGGAUGCGUGACAUUAGAUAGUAGGCGGGGUAACGGCCCACCUAGUCUACGAUGUCUAGGGGUUCUGAGAGGAAGGUCCCCCACACUGGAACUGAGACACGGUCCAGACUCCUACGGGAGGCAGCAGUGAGGAAUAUUGGUCAAUGGUCGGAAGACUGAACCAGCCAAGUAGCGUGAAGGAUGAAGGUUCUAUGGAUUGUAAACUUCUUUUAUACGGGAAUAAAACCUCCCACGUGUGGGAGCUUGUAUGUACCGUAUGAAUAAGCAUCGGCUAACUCCGUG
Molecule: ribosomal RNA, 490 nt
Filed under: uncultured bacterium
Lineage: Bacteria
Description: bacterial SSU rRNA
Rfam family: Bacterial small subunit ribosomal RNA
Source: RNAcentral